GGCAAAAAGCCAAGUGGCAGGAUAUCUGCUGAGAAAGCUGAGAAGAUGACAGUCUCGCAGGAGAAAAUGGAAGACAGCAGAAUUUCACUAUGUGACGGAGAUCCCUGUCAAUUCAUGAAGAAUAUUGAAUAGCUGAGGAAGACGGCCUUGAUUUAAGGUCAUGAUACUGACAGAACAGUAGGAGGAGUGGUAGAAUGCACGUCUGUAGAGUGUGGAGGUGCCCCUGCAUUUCUGAGAGGGAUUGAUAGGAAAUCAUUAAUACAGUUUAUAAAAAGAAGGCAAUUCAACUGAGAGAGAGAGAUUCACCUCUAAUGAAGGAUCAGACUGGCUAUCCCCAGAACUAAGAGAGACGCUGUAUGAAAGAUCUCGCAUGACAUCCAAAGAAUACAAGCUACAAAAGAAUCAGCAUCUCAUAAAGAAUUCUAACACAUUACAAGGCCACUAUGUGCUUAUGGUCCAUGAAGUGACCAUGCCCCCAUUCUUGGGCCAGACUCUCCCACCUGCCUUCAAACUCUUGAAUUUUUCCAGAGAAAACCAAGAACAAAGAUUCUCUCAAAGUCACCAGCAAGUAAAAAGGAUCAAACCCCACAGCCAGGGCUCUUAUCCAGGGCACACUGAAGUCAAUGGAAUUUUUCCCAUUGAAUGCAGUGGAAGUUGGAUUCAGUCUUUGCAUCCCCAGUCACCCUUGUAAGGUUUUUCAUGCAGGAAUGGGGCUUCAAUUUUGAAAAUUAUAGUCUUCUAAUAGCCAAGAAAAUAAUUGACUUAGAGAUCUAUGUCGUGGUCGUCUUCUUACUAUUAACAUUUUAGAAGAAAAAAAGAGAUAUUCUCUGUAGAGAUUUGAG
This is a long non-coding RNA of Gymnogyps californianus (California condor), 842 nucleotides long. RefSeq lists it as uncharacterized. The record is from RefSeq and is a predicted model, not a curated record. The transcript has 5 exons. NCBI's taxonomy places the organism in Eukaryota, Metazoa, Chordata, Aves, Accipitriformes, Cathartidae.